This 19-nucleotide small nuclear RNA is filed under the name Arabidopsis thaliana (thale cress). RNAcentral's name for it is "snRNA_04060". The record is from RNAcentral. Lineage: Eukaryota; Viridiplantae; Streptophyta; Magnoliopsida; Brassicales; Brassicaceae.
GGGUGCACCGCCGACCGAC